This 253-nucleotide ribosomal RNA is filed under the name uncultured bacterium. RNAcentral's name for it is "partial 16S ribosomal RNA". It matches the Rfam family "Bacterial small subunit ribosomal RNA", at positions 524 to 776 of the family's 1533-position model. The record is from RNAcentral.
UACGGGGGGGGCAAGCGUUGUUCGGAAUUACUGGGCGUAAAGGGCCCGUAGGCGGCCCACUAAGUCGGAUGUGAAAUCCCCAGGCUUAACCUGGGAACUGCAUCCGAUACUGGAUGGCUUGAAUUCGGGAGAGGGAUGCAGAAUUCCAGGUGUAGCGGUGAAAUGCGUAGAUAUCUGGAGGAACACCGGUGGCGAAGGCGGCAUCCUGGACCAACACUGACACUGAGGAGCGAAAGCCAGGGGAGCAAACGGG